This 253-nucleotide ribosomal RNA is filed under the name uncultured bacterium. RNAcentral describes it as "partial 16S ribosomal RNA". It matches the Rfam family "Bacterial small subunit ribosomal RNA", at positions 524 to 776 of the family's 1533-position model. The record is from RNAcentral.
UACGUAGGGGGCAAGCGUUGUCCGGAGUUACUGGGCGUAAAGCGCACGCAGGCGGUCGAUUAAGUUUGGAGUGACAGUUGGUGGCUUAACUGCCAAAGUGCUUCGAAAACUGAUCGACUUGAGGGCUUCAGAGGGACACGGAAUUCCGGGUGGAGUGGUGAAAUGCGUAGAUAUCUGGAGGAACACCGGUGGCGAAGGCGGCAUCCUGGACCAACACUGACACUGAGGAGCGAAAGCCAGGGGAGCAAACGGG